UGGCUGUAUCCUUGAGCUUUAUGGAGCUAC
RNAcentral lists this non-coding RNA (30 nucleotides) under Mus musculus (house mouse). The record is from RNAcentral. Lineage: Eukaryota; Metazoa; Chordata; Mammalia; Rodentia; Muridae.